UCCUGAUAGCUCUGAUGGUAAAGCAUCUGUUUACAGUGCAGGAGACCCAGGUUCGAUCCCUGGGUCAGGAA
This is a transfer RNA of Ovis aries (sheep), 71 nucleotides long. It matches the Rfam family "tRNA". Rfam says of the family: Transfer RNA (tRNA) molecules are approximately 80 nucleotides in length. Their secondary structure includes four short double-helical elements and three loops (D, anti-codon, and T loops). The record is from Rfam. NCBI's taxonomy places the organism in Eukaryota, Metazoa, Chordata, Mammalia, Artiodactyla, Bovidae.